GACGGAGGAUGGAAGCUGUAUGCGGAAUUCUUGGGCGUAAAGCGUCCGUAGGUGGCCUAUCAAGUCUGCUGUUAAAGCCCAGGGCUCAACUCUGGAUCAGCAGUGGAAACUGAUAAGCUAGAGCGCGGUAGGGGCAGAGGGGAGUCCCGGUGUAGCGGUGAAAUGCGUAGAUAUCGUGAAGAACACCAGUGGCGAAGGCGCUCAGCUGGGCCGUAACUGACACCCAUUGACGGAAGCUAGGGGAGCGAAAGGG
RNAcentral lists this ribosomal RNA (253 nucleotides) under uncultured bacterium. Its description in RNAcentral is "partial 16S ribosomal RNA". It matches the Rfam family "Bacterial small subunit ribosomal RNA", at positions 524 to 776 of the family's 1533-position model. The record is from RNAcentral.